RNAcentral lists this ribosomal RNA (253 nucleotides) under uncultured bacterium. RNAcentral describes it as "partial 16S ribosomal RNA". It matches the Rfam family "Bacterial small subunit ribosomal RNA", at positions 524 to 776 of the family's 1533-position model. The record is from RNAcentral.
UACGUAGGGUCCGAGCGUUGUCCGGAAUUACUGGGCGUAAAGAGCUCGUAGGUGGUUUGUCGCGUUGUCCGUGAAAACUCACAGCUCAACUGUGGGCGUGCGGGCGAUACGGGCAGACUGGAGUACUGCAGGGGAGACUGGAAUUCCUGGUGUAGCGGUGGAAUGCGCAGAUAUCAGGAGGAACACCGGUGGCGAAGGCGGGUCUCUGGACAGUUCCUGACACUGAGGCACGAAGGCCAGGGGAGCAAACGGG